UCACCUAAGCUCAACUGAAAUUGCUUGAAAUCACUCUAUAAAUUUUCCAUACCCUGAAAAUUUGCAUUCCAUUUUCUAUGAAGAGAGAGCAAGCCACACCCUAUAAAGGUAAAAAGAUCCACUCCAAUCACUGUCUAUAUUUGUUCAGUAAAUUUCUUACUGCCUUAGGAAUCAGAAUAUUAGCAGGGGUAAAAUCGCCCUCAGCCUGCCCUCGCCAACUAGCUAGCCUGAAGGAAGGGAAAAAUGAGGCGCGAUCGACUGCACGACCAAAGGCUGUAAAAUGACAUCAAUUACAGGAGAAAAAAAUACGUUUGGAAGCUACAGGCAGAAAAAAUAACAUCAGGUGAUAAAGAACGGUAUUACAUAGUUCAAAGGGGACACUGACAAUCUAUUAUUUCGAUCGGAAACAAAAUAUAAAUGUCUACAAUGUCAACUAAUUAGUGUUAUGUCAAAAAGAAGUGCUGAAAGAUUGAAACACUUGCAAGAGGCAACAAUACAUGCUAAAAGAUCCCGAAAAUUAAUGCACAAAAAACCUGUCUUGAUUUCUCAAAUGCCAGCAAGUUGUUCUCUCUCUUGUAACUUAAAUUUUUCUACAGACGAAGCAAAAAUUGUGACCAAACUGGGAAAAGGAGGAGGAGAAUGGCGGCUAUAAUGAGAAGAAUAGCAAUACAAGUGCAUUUU
RNAcentral lists this long non-coding RNA (681 nucleotides) under Olea europaea (common olive). RNAcentral describes it as "long non-coding RNA (OEUR_LNC009526)". The record is from RNAcentral. Lineage: Eukaryota; Viridiplantae; Streptophyta; Magnoliopsida; Lamiales; Oleaceae.